This 345-nucleotide ribosomal RNA is filed under the name uncultured Methanosaeta sp. Its description in RNAcentral is "bacterial SSU rRNA". It matches the Rfam family "Archaeal small subunit ribosomal RNA", at positions 994 to 1338 of the family's 1478-position model. The record is from RNAcentral. Lineage: Archaea; Methanobacteriati; Methanobacteriota; Methanomicrobia; Methanotrichales; Methanotrichaceae.
AUGGCCGUGUCAGUUCGUACUGUGAAGCAUCCUGUUAAGUCAGGCAACGAGCGAGACCCACGCCCACAGUUGCCAGCGUACUCUCUGGAGUGACGGGUACACUGGUGGGGACCGCCGCUGCUAAAGCGGAGGAAGGAAUGGGCAACGGUAGGUCAGUAUGCCCCGAAUAUCCCGGGCUACACGCGAGCUACAAUGGUUGGUACAAUGGGUAUCUACCCCGAAAGGGGACGGGAAUCUCCUAAAACCAAUCUUAGUUCGGAUUGAGGGCUGCAACUCGCCCUCAUGAAGCUGGAAUCCGUAGUAAUCGCGUUUCAACAGAACGCGGUGAAUACGUCCCUGCUCCUU